RNAcentral lists this ribosomal RNA (642 nucleotides) under Salmonella enterica. RNAcentral describes it as "partial 23S ribosomal RNA". It matches the Rfam family "Bacterial large subunit ribosomal RNA", at positions 2261 to 2897 of the family's 2925-position model. Lineage: Bacteria; Pseudomonadati; Pseudomonadota; Gammaproteobacteria; Enterobacterales; Enterobacteriaceae. The record is from RNAcentral.
GUGGGUAGUUUGACUGGGGCGGUCUCCUCCUAAAGAGUAACGGAGGAGCACGAAGGUUGGCUAAUCCUGGUCGGACAUCAGGAGGUUAGUGCAAUGGCAUAAGCCAGCUUGACUGCGAGCGUGACGGCGCGAGCAGGUGCGAAAGCAGGUCAUAGUGAUCCGGUGGUUCUGAAUGGAAGGGCCAUCGCUCAACGGAUAAAAGGUACUCCGGGGAUAACAGGCUGAUACCGCCCAAGAGUUCAUAUCGACGGCGGUGUUUGGCACCUCGAUGUCGGCUCAUCACAUCCUGGGGCUGAAGUAGGUCCCAAGGGUAUGGCUGUUCGCCAUUUAAAGUGGUACGCGAGCUGGGUUUAGAACGUCGUGAGACAGUUCGGUCCCUAUCUGCCGUGGGCGCUGGAGAACUGAGGGGGGCUGCUCCUAGUACGAGAGGACCGGAGUGGACGCAUCACUGGUGUUCGGGUUGUCAUGCCAAUGGCACUGCCCGGUAGCUAAAUGCGGAAGAGAUAAGUGCUGAAAGCAUCUAAGCACGAAACUUGCCCCGAGAUGAGUUCUCCCUGAGACUUAGAGUCUCCUGAAGGAACGUUGAAGACGACGACGUUGAUAGGCCGGGUGUGUAAGCGCAGCGAUGCGUUGAGCUAACCG